This 697-nucleotide ribosomal RNA is filed under the name Escherichia sp. GZ89. RNAcentral describes it as "bacterial SSU rRNA". It matches the Rfam family "Bacterial small subunit ribosomal RNA", at positions 823 to 1520 of the family's 1533-position model. Lineage: Bacteria; Pseudomonadati; Pseudomonadota; Gammaproteobacteria; Enterobacterales; Enterobacteriaceae. The record is from RNAcentral.
GUUGUGCCCUUGAGGCGUGGCUUCCGGAGCUAACGCGUUAAGUCGACCGCCUGGGGAGUACGGCCGCAAGGUUAAAACUCAAAUGAAUUGACGGGGGCCCGCACAAGCGGUGGAGCAUGUGGUUUAAUUCGAUGCAACGCGAAGAACCUUACCUGGUCUUGACAUCCACGGAAGUUUUCAGAGAUGAGAAUGUGCCUUCGGGAACCGUGAGACAGGUGCUGCAUGGCUGUCGUCAGCUCGUGUUGUGAAAUGUUGGGUUAAGUCCCGCAACGAGCGCAACCCUUAUCCUUUGUUGCCAGCGGUCCGGCCGGGAACUCAAAGGAGACUGCCAGUGAUAAACUGGAGGAAGGUGGGGAUGACGUCAAGUCAUCAUGGCCCUUACGACCAGGGCUACACACGUGCUACAAUGGCGCAUACAAAGAGAAGCGACCUCGCGAGAGCAAGCGGACCUCAUAAAGUGCGUCGUAGUCCGGAUUGGAGUCUGCAACUCGACUCCAUGAAGUCGGAAUCGCUAGUAAUCGUGGAUCAGAAUGCCACGGUGAAUACGUUCCCGGGCCUUGUACACACCGCCCGUCACACCAUGGGAGUGGGUUGCAAAAGAAGUAGGUAGCUUAACCUUCGGGAGGGCGCUUACCACUUUGUGAUUCAUGACUGGGGUGAAGUCGUAACAAGGUAACCGUAGGGGAACCUGCGGUUG